ACCUACGGCCAUACCACCUUGAACAAGCCCGAUCCCAUCUGAUCUUGGAAGCUAAGCAGGGUCGGGCCUGGUUAGUACUUGGAUGGAAGACCACCUAGGAAAACCAGAUGCUGUAGGCA
RNAcentral lists this ribosomal RNA (119 nucleotides) under Pteropus alecto (black flying fox). The record is from RNAcentral. Lineage: Eukaryota; Metazoa; Chordata; Mammalia; Chiroptera; Pteropodidae.